RNAcentral lists this ribosomal RNA (497 nucleotides) under uncultured bacterium. RNAcentral describes it as "partial 16S ribosomal RNA". It matches the Rfam family "Bacterial small subunit ribosomal RNA", at positions 28 to 507 of the family's 1533-position model. The record is from RNAcentral.
GAUGAACGCUGGCGGCGUGCCUAAUACAUGCAAGUCGAGCGAACAGACGAGGAGCUUGCUCCUCUGACGUUAGCGGCGGACGGGUGAGUAACACGUGGAUAACCUACCUAUAAGACUGGGAUAACUUCGGGAAGCCGGAGCUAAUACCGGAUAAUAUAUUGAACCGCAUGGUUCAAUAGUGAAAGACGGUUUUGCUGUCACUUAUAGAUGGAUCCGCGCCGCAUUAGCUAGUUGGUAAGGUAACGGCUUACCAAGGCAACGAUGCGUAGCCGACCUGAGAGGGUGAUCGGCCACACUGGAACUGAGACACGGUCCAGACUCCUGCGGGAGGCAGCAGUAGGGAAUCUUCCGCAAUGGGCGAAAGCCUGACGGAGCAACGCCGCGUGAGUGAUGAAGGUCUUCGGAUCGUAAAACUCUGUUAUUAGGGAAGAACAAAUGUGUAAGUAACUAUGCACGUCUUGACGGUACCUAAUCAGAAAGCCACGGCUAACUACGUG